CAACGCAUCACCGGGGGCAAACUACCUGCCCUCCAGGACACCUACACCACCCAAUGUCACAGGAAGGCCAAAAAGAUCAUCAAGGACAACAACCACCCGAGCCACUGCCUGUUCACCCCGCUAUCAUCCAGAAGUGUCCCCGACCCUGAGCAGCCACUCACCCCAAGACGCUCCAGUCGCCUGCAAACCGCUCACACACACACGCUGCCUGACAACACACACAUGCUGUGUGACAACACACACACGCUGCGUGACAACACACACACGCUGCCUGACAACACACACACGCUGCCUGACAACACACACACGCUGCCUGACAACACACACACGCUGCGUGACAACACACACACGGCCCAGGAAGUGGCUGCAGGACAGGUGUGUGUGGUAGGAGACUCCUCUUUAGACCCUGGAGAGGAGAUGCCUCAGGUGCUGGAAGCUCUGGAUCCUGGAGGGAUGAAAUUAACACAUGGGGUAGAGAUGGGGGUAUCUUUAAUCCGGAG
This 500-nucleotide long non-coding RNA is filed under the name Salmo salar (Atlantic salmon). RNAcentral describes it as "lncRNA (ENSSSAG00000091607.1)". The record is from RNAcentral. Lineage: Eukaryota; Metazoa; Chordata; Actinopteri; Salmoniformes; Salmonidae.